GGCCUGGUAGCUCAGUUGGUUAGAGCGUCGCGAAUGUCGUGGGUUCGAUCCCCAUCCGGGCCA
This 63-nucleotide transfer RNA is filed under the name Opisthorchis viverrini. It matches the Rfam family "tRNA". Rfam says of the family: Transfer RNA (tRNA) molecules are approximately 80 nucleotides in length. Their secondary structure includes four short double-helical elements and three loops (D, anti-codon, and T loops). Further hydrogen bonds mediate the characteristic L-shaped molecular structure. tRNAs have two regions of fundamental functional importance: the anti-codon, which is responsible for specific mRNA codon recognition, and the 3' end, to which the tRNAs corresponding amino acid is attached (by aminoacyl-tRNA synthetases). tRNAs cope with the degeneracy of the genetic code in two manners: having more than one tRNA (with a specific anti-codon) for a particular amino acid; and 'wobble' base-pairing, i.e. permitting non-standard base-pairing at the 3rd anti-codon position. Lineage: Eukaryota; Metazoa; Platyhelminthes; Trematoda; Opisthorchiida; Opisthorchiidae. The record is from Rfam by way of RNAcentral.